GACGAACGCUGGCGGCGUGCUUAACACAUGCAAGUCGAACGAUGAAGCUAGAGCUUGCUCUGGUGGAUUAGUGGCGAACGGGUGAGUAACACGUGAGUAACCUGCCCCGAACUCUGGGAUAACUGCUGGAAACGGUAGCUAAUACUGGAUACGACCAACGAAGGCAUCUUCUGUUGGUGGAAAGAAUUUCGGUUCGGGAUGGACUCGCGGCCUAUCAGCUUGUUGGUGAGGUAACGGCUCACCAAGGCGACGACGGGUAGCCGGCCUGAGAGGGUGAUCGGCAAGACUGGUACUGAGACACGGCCCAGAAUCCUACGGGAGGCAGCAGUGGGGAAUAUUGCACAAUGGGCGCAAGCCUGAUGCAGCAACGCCGCGUGAGGGACGACGGCCUUCGGGUUGUAAACCUCUUUUAGUAGGGAAGAAGCGAAAGUGACGGUACCUGCAGAAAAAGCACCGGCUAACUACGUGCCAGCAGCCGCUGUAA
This 484-nucleotide ribosomal RNA is filed under the name uncultured bacterium. RNAcentral describes it as "partial 16S ribosomal RNA". It matches the Rfam family "Bacterial small subunit ribosomal RNA", at positions 28 to 523 of the family's 1533-position model. The record is from RNAcentral.